Molecule: transfer RNA, 89 nt
Filed under: Xylaria palmicola
Lineage: Eukaryota; Fungi; Ascomycota; Sordariomycetes; Xylariales; Xylariaceae
Description: tRNA-Val
Source: RNAcentral
AGUCGUAUGGUCUAAUGGUUAUGAUUUCUCGUUCACAUGAUGUGUACAUUGCCCCGAGAAGGUUCCGUGUUCGAUCCACGGUACGACUA